Molecule: long non-coding RNA, 395 nt
Organism: Oreochromis niloticus (Nile tilapia)
Lineage: Eukaryota; Metazoa; Chordata; Actinopteri; Cichliformes; Cichlidae
Exons: 3
Source: RefSeq, a predicted model, not a curated record
UCUCUGUUUCCUGUGUGUGUUGUUAGAAAUCAAAAUGUAACUUUAGGAAAAAAAAUGCCAAAAGCACAUUUACAAUUACUUAUGACCGUUUUUAACUUCUUUUCUUCAGACCAAAUCCCCUGUACACAUAUACGGACUCAGAGGAUGAGCAGCCUACAAAAAACGGUUUCCCCAGGCCCCUCGAGUGAAAAUACCAGCCCUCAUCACUCCGCAGUCUGCCCCCCAGCCCACUGAUAGCAACCAUCAUAAUGCCCCGCCCAGCUUGCGGCACCUUUUGCCACUCCGGCACAACACACAAACCAACACAGCUUUGCGAUCUCCCCAGCAUGCAGAGUCUGAUGUCAAUGUCUUCCCUAUAGAUGAUUCCAGAGACUCUGUGAGGCCACUAUUACAAG